AGAGUUUGAUCCUGGCUCAGAACGAACGCUGGCGGCAGGCCUAACACAUGCAAGUCGAACGACGUAGCAAUACAUAGUGGCGCACGGGUGAGUAACGCGUGGGAAUGUACCGUUUAGUGGGGGAUAACUUCGGGUAACUGGAGCUAAUACCGCAUACGCCCUUCGGGGGAAAGAUUUAUCGCUAAACGAUCAGCCCGCGUGAGAUUAUGGUAGUUGGUGGGGUAAUGGCCUACCAAGCCUACGAUCUCUAGCUGGUCUUAGAGGACGACCAGCCACACUGGAACUGAGACACGGUCCAGACUCCUACGGGAGGCAGCAGUGGGGAAUAUUGGGCAAUGGGCGAAAGCCUGACCCAGCCAUGCCGCGUGAGUGAUGAAGGCCUUAGGGUUGUAAAGCUCUUUCGCCGAUGACGAUAAUGACGGUAGUCGGAGAAGAAGCCCCGGCUAACUUCGUGCCAGCAGCCGCGGUAAUACGAAGGGGGCUAGCGUUGUUCGGAAUUACUGGGCGUAAAGCGCGCGUAGGCGGCGCAGCAAGUCAGUGGUGAAAUCCCGGAGCUUAACUUCGGAACUGCCAUUGAAACUACUGCGCUGGAAUCUCAAAGGGGAUAGCGGAAUUCCAAAUGUAGGGGUGAAAUCCGUAGAUAUUUGGAGGAACACCGGUGGCGAAGGCGGCUAUCUGGAUGAGUAUUGACGCUGAGGCGCGAAAGCGUGGGGAUCAAACAGGAUUAGAUACCCUGGUAGUCCACGCUGUAAACGAUGGAUGCUAGUUGUUGGGGGGUUCCCUCUCAGUGACGAAGCUAACGCAUUAAGCAUCCCGCCUGGGGAGUACGGCCGCAAGGUUAAAACUCAAAGAAAUUGACGGGGACCCGCACAAGCGGUGGAGCAUGUGGUUUAAUUCGAGGCAACGCGAAGAACCUUACCAGGCCUUGACUUGUCCUUUUUGGAUUGCAGAGAUGCGAUCCUUCACUUCGGGUGGGAGGAACACAGGUGCUGCAUGGCUGUCGUCAGCUCGUGUCGUGAGAUGUUGGGUUAAGUCCCGCAACGAGCGCAACCCUCGUCCUUAGUUGCCAUCAUUCAGUUGGGAACUCUAAGGAAACUGCCUGUGAUAAGCAGGAGAAAGGUGGGGACGACGUCAAGUCAUCAUGGCCCUUACGGCCUGGGCUACACACGUGCUACAAUGGCGGUGACAAUGGGCAGCGAGCGCGCAAGCGUCAGCCAAUCCCUAAAAACCGUCUCAGUUCGGAUUGCACUCUGCAACUCGAGUGCAUGAAGCUGGAAUCGCUAGUAAUCGUAGAUCAGCAUGCUACGGUGAAUACGUUCCCGGGUCUUGUACACACCGUCCGUCACACCAUGGGAGUUGCUUCUGCCUUAAGCAGGUGAGCCAAUCUGGCAGCCUACCACGGCAGGGGUAAUGACUGGGGUGAAGUCGUAACAAGGUAGCCGUAUCGGAAGGUGCGGCUGGAUCACCUCCUU
Molecule: ribosomal RNA, 1472 nt
Filed under: uncultured bacterium
Lineage: Bacteria
Description: bacterial SSU rRNA
Rfam family: Bacterial small subunit ribosomal RNA
Source: RNAcentral